CAAAAGGAGACCUUGAAGGAUAAGGAAAAGUGAGUCAAGGAAAGAGGAGACUCAUUAAAGGUAAGGAGAAAGAAAAAGCUGCAGAGUGAGUAGCGUGGAGCAGUACUGGAUAUAGCUUCGGGUAUAUAUUAGGUAUACCCUUGUGUAGAUUUAUUUUGAUGUAAUUUGACCUGCAUGUAUAUAAAAGACAAAUGAGCAGUUGUACACAUGAAAUUGUAAUAAUAUUUUGUUAACUUUUCGUUGUAAAUUUGUAUAGAG
Molecule: unclassified non-coding RNA, 258 nt
Filed under: Hevea brasiliensis (rubber tree)
Lineage: Eukaryota; Viridiplantae; Streptophyta; Magnoliopsida; Malpighiales; Euphorbiaceae
Source: RNAcentral